Molecule: long non-coding RNA, 435 nt
Filed under: Helianthus annuus (common sunflower)
Lineage: Eukaryota; Viridiplantae; Streptophyta; Magnoliopsida; Asterales; Asteraceae
Description: sRNA HanXRQr2_Chr16g0750171
Source: RNAcentral
AAUCACAUGGGGCCAUCAUUACACUUGCUACACAUCACUCUUCAUUAUUUUCAAAACUUCAAAAACAAAAUAUACAUUCUCUCUCUUCCAAAGUCUUCAUCAACCCUUCUUCAUCUAACCUAAAUAACCAGACUUGUUCAUGUAUACCCAAAAUCACCGGAGAAAAAUCGCCUAAUAUAUUCAAAAUCGCCGAAGAAAAUCAACGAUCACUAGACGACGGAGAUAUACCACCGGAGAACAAUCACCGAGGAAUUUCAACCAUCGACGCUGGAGAUAUACCUCCUAAAACCCGCCGGAGAUAUACCACCUAAAACGAGAGAAUCGCAGGGGUUUUGAUUUUUAAUAAUGUUACAUGGGGGAAAGGCAUCUACCACCAAACUGGAAAAAAGUGUUAAAGCGAAACUAAUAAGUAUUUAAUCUCAAAUUAUUAUUAUA